AUGAUCAUCUGUUUCUUUAGUGCAACAUUCUUCAAAGUAUGCCAUGAGAACUUCCAAAAGAAAAAAAAGUAUGCCAUGAGAAUUUGGUUAUCUGAUUUUUGCUUCUGGAGGGGUGUACAAGACGGCCGAGCUGUGGCAGGUGAAGGAGCCGCUGCCGCUGCCCGCGCCGAAGAAGCGCAACUGCUCCAUGGUGUUCACCCUCAAGGAGAUGGAGGAGGCCACCAGCAUGUUCAGCGACAAGAACCUCAUCGGCAAGGGUGGCUUCGGCCGGGUUUACAGGGGCGUGCUCAAAGAUGGGUAGAUUCUCUUGAUUGGAGUGGAGAGGAGCAGAGACGAGAGGAGCAGCAGAAGUGGACAGCGCAGCGGCUGACCUCAAGCUCUUGA
This 384-nucleotide ribosomal RNA is filed under the name Triticum aestivum (bread wheat). Its description in RNAcentral is "partial small subunit ribosomal RNA". The record is from RNAcentral. Lineage: Eukaryota; Viridiplantae; Streptophyta; Magnoliopsida; Poales; Poaceae.